Gossypium arboreum is the source of this 587-nucleotide long non-coding RNA. RefSeq lists it as uncharacterized. Lineage: Eukaryota; Viridiplantae; Streptophyta; Magnoliopsida; Malvales; Malvaceae. The transcript has 3 exons. The record is from RefSeq and is a predicted model, not a curated record.
GGCCAUGAGCAUGAGAGGGGACAAAAUGUUAUGGGGUGAAACAUGUUGGAAACAUGUUGUGUUAGUGUGUUAGGGGAGAAAGAAUAAAAUAAAGGGGUUAGUAAUAAAGAAAUGAAAAGGGAGGGGUGAUGAGAAAAAAAAAAAAAAAGGUUGUCUCAUCCAUGUUUCCCCCCAUUGCCGUGACUUGAGAAGCAAAAGAAAAGAAGAAAUCGGUUCUUCUUAGCUGAAAUGAAAAGAAGAAGAAAGGAAUGAAGCUAGAAAGGAGAGGGCAGCUGCAUGUAGUGGAAAACCAUGGAAUUUGUUUGCUUAGAAGUUAAAAAUUUCAAGUAGAAGGCUAACAAGGUAGGAGAAGGUGGUAGUAGACAAGGGAAAGAGCAAAUUGAAUAGGUGGAAUCGGUGUUGGGAACCUUGAUUUUGCUCGUUAGCUAUCGGAUUCGGGAUCAUUGAAGUCGAAGUCAUCCACACUAUCAAAGCCCCCAUUUUGGUACAAUUUUGGUUGAACUUUGAAAUGGCAUGUAUAGGACUACCCUUUUGUUGUAGGUUAUGUACCUUUCGGUUUUGUGUAAAUUCGGAUAGCCAUGCGAAAA